Molecule: non-coding RNA, 1006 nt
Organism: Poecilia reticulata (guppy)
Lineage: Eukaryota; Metazoa; Chordata; Actinopteri; Cyprinodontiformes; Poeciliidae
Source: RefSeq, a predicted model, not a curated record
AGCCCCUCCCCCCCAGGACAAACUGAGCUGAGCGGAUGUGCUGCUGCUGAAGAUUUACAGAGGUUACAGUUAUAAAAUAUUUAUUUUGGGGAAGUAAAGUCAGUUUACAUGACCGAAGAGCUUCACAUGGAGCAGGAGACGCGACGUAUUCAGUUCCUGACGACGUUUUUGGCGGGAUUUUAAUAUUCCUGGAAACCGACUGGAACAGACAUCCAACCUGGAGGACAUCAGCUGGUCCUCCACAGGGAGGAUCGUCCAAUCAUCUUGAAGAACCCAGCGGUGUGGUAGACUGGGAUUGAAGCAGUGCGAGUCUGACCUGACAGAGCUGCAGGUCAGAGGAAGAGGAGGGAGGAGGAGGAAGGAGCGUCGGGCUCAGAGCAAGAAGUGGAAGACGUGUCAGGACGGAGCGGCGAGGGAAAAUAAACAGAUGGAGCUUUGAGGAUAUUCUAUCUGAAGCUUAGUCCUGUUGAGUAUAAAUACGGUGGCUGGUAAGCCAUGUAAAUAGGCCUGUGUUUACCUGUCUGCACAGCCCAAAUUAAUCACCCAUGCCGCCACGAGCCGCGCGGAGCGCAGAGCAGGAGGGGGUGGCAGCAGUGAUGGAGCACCGCAGGGACGGGCUGGAGACCUUUCAGUUUCACAUCUACUGGGAUCCUGCAGCCACUUCAGCCAUGUGGAAGAAUUUGGAUAUUUUAGAGAAAGCACAAACAGCCCUGCAGUCUGAUCUUUCGCCGCUGCUGGACGACAGAACGAUGCGCCUGCUGGCUGGGCUCAGACGCAGUCAGAGGAACGGCCUCGGCAUUUCCCGAUUCUCCUUUGUGAUUUGAUCCUGAUGCCGUUGCUUUCAGUCGUCAGGAUCCAGCCGGGAUCAGAAGGGUUUUCAGGUGCAGCAGACGAGAGCGGAGCUGCGUCUGGAUUAGCGGUCUGCAGGAUCGGCUGGAAACCAGGCUGAUUAAAAUGCCGUUGCUCAUACCUGGAACGAUUAAAGAAGACGUUUUUUAACCUUUUC